UGGGAUGUAGCUCAGUGGCAAAGCACUUGCCUAGCAAGUGUAAAGUCCUGGGUUCGAUCCCCAGUACCAA
Molecule: transfer RNA, 70 nt
Filed under: Dipodomys ordii (Ord's kangaroo rat)
Lineage: Eukaryota; Metazoa; Chordata; Mammalia; Rodentia; Heteromyidae
Rfam family: tRNA
About the family: Transfer RNA (tRNA) molecules are approximately 80 nucleotides in length.
Source: Rfam by way of RNAcentral